GACGAACGCUGGCGGCGUGCUUAACACAUGCAAGUCGAACGGAAAGGCCUUUUCGGAGGUACUCGAGUGGCGCACGGGUGAGUAACACGUGGGUGAUCUGCCCUGCACUCUGGGAUAAGCCUGGGAAACUGGGUCUAAUACCGGACAGGACCGCACUUUAGUGUGUGUGGUGGAAAGUUUUUUCGGUGUAGGAUGAGCCCGCGGCCUAUCAGCUUGGUGGUGGGGUAAUGGCCUACCAAGGCGGCGACGGGUAGCCGGACGGGGAGGUUGGGCGGCCACAGUGGGACUGAGAGGAGGCCCCGACGCCGACUGGAGGCAGCUGGGGGGAAGAUUGCACCAUGGGUGCAAGCCUGGUGCAGCGACCCCGCGGGGGGGAGAGCGGCCUUCUGGUUGUAAACGCCCUUCGGCAGAGAACAAGCGUUUUGUGACGGUACCUGGAGAAGAAGCACCGGCUAACUACGUG
RNAcentral lists this ribosomal RNA (463 nucleotides) under uncultured bacterium. RNAcentral describes it as "partial 16S ribosomal RNA". It matches the Rfam family "Bacterial small subunit ribosomal RNA", at positions 28 to 507 of the family's 1533-position model. The record is from RNAcentral.